Molecule: small nuclear RNA, 21 nt
Filed under: Arabidopsis thaliana (thale cress)
Lineage: Eukaryota; Viridiplantae; Streptophyta; Magnoliopsida; Brassicales; Brassicaceae
Description: snRNA_10051
Source: RNAcentral
AACAAUCGGUUUCGAACGCCU